Molecule: long non-coding RNA, 220 nt
Filed under: Lathyrus oleraceus (garden pea)
Lineage: Eukaryota; Viridiplantae; Streptophyta; Magnoliopsida; Fabales; Fabaceae
Description: Pisum sativum (pea) long non-coding RNA (PSAT_LNC042277)
Source: RNAcentral
GGGUGGAUCCCUCACUAGUAUGUUGAAGCUCUCCUCACAUGGUGGAUUUUUGGUUUAGGUUGAGUUUUCUCCCAUGGACUAUAAGUCUUCCAUACUUAUUAUAGGGUGGAUCCCUCACUAGUAUGUUGAAGCUCUCCUCACAUGGUGGAUUUUUGGUUUAGGUUGAGUUUUCUCCCUUUGAUAACAAAAGACCUUAAGGCUAUUGACAAAUCAAUUCACC